RNAcentral lists this ribosomal RNA (550 nucleotides) under uncultured bacterium. Its description in RNAcentral is "bacterial SSU rRNA". It matches the Rfam family "Bacterial small subunit ribosomal RNA", at positions 355 to 896 of the family's 1533-position model. The record is from RNAcentral.
UAGGGAAUCUUCCACAAUGGGCGCAAGCCUGAUGGAGCAACACCGCGUGAGUGAAGAAGGGUUUCGGCUCGUAAAGCUCUGUUGUUAAAGAAGAACACGUAUGAGAGUAACUGUUCAUACGUUGACGGUAUUUAACCAGAAAGUCACGGCUAACUACGUGCCAGCAGCCGCGGUAAUACGUAGGUGGCAAGCGUUAUCCGGAUUUAUUGGGCGUAAAGAGAGUGCAGGCGGUUUUCUAAGUCUGAUGUGAAAGCCUUCGGCUUAACCGGAGAAGUGCAUCGGAAACUGGAUAACUUGAGUGCAGAAGAGGGUAGUGGAACUCCAUGUGUAGCGGUGGAAUGCGUAGAUAUAUGGAAGAACACCAGUGGCGAAGGCGGCUACCUGGUCUGCAACUGACGCUGAGACUCGAAAGCAUGGGUAGCGAACAGGAUUAGAUACCCUGGUAGUCCAUGCCGUAAACGAUGAGUGCUAGGUGUUGGAGGGUUUCCGCCCUUCAGUGCCGCAGCUAACGCAAUAAGCAUUCCGCCUGGGGAGUACGACCGCAAGGUUG